CUUCCCCGGAUGACAGCUUGGCAGAGCCCCGGACUUUUUAAUAUUGCAACGUGCGUCAACUCCAGCAGGGGGUUAAGAGUUCCUUAAUCCCCCACGAAAAGCCGAACCCUGGCUUGGCGACGGUCCGCAGGGCGGCCGGGGAAGUGUGUGUGGGGGUGAGUUGGAGAGAGCGGCCAAGCGCGGUCACCCUACCCGGCCGCGGCUCCCCGGACGCGGGCACGGAGGCGGACCCGAUGCCCACACCCAGAGCUGGGCUGUCACCGGAUCUAUCCGCUUGGAACAGGUGCGGGGCGAGCCCAACGCCCGAGCCCCGCGCUGCGCCCCCGAAAAGCCCCGCGCGCCCCGGGCCGCCCUCCUCGGCCCCGCCGCGGCCCAGCGGCGCCCCGCUAAGAAGACCCCCCACUCUGCACUCCCCGCUCAUUCCGUUGGUCUCCCUCUUGUCCCCCCCACCCCCGGCAAAGCCCCCUACGAAGCGACUCGGAGCAGAAGUUCAGGCUCGGGGAAACCGAGACGGGUCUUGCGCGCAGCCCCGACUCAUCCCCCUCACCCCGGCACCCCCGGAGGCGACCGCGGGUGGUGAUGGAUCGCGCGGGGGUCGGGGAUCUGGGGGGGUCGGGGGGCCAGGGGGGGUAUGCGCCCACCCACCCCGCCGGGGCCGCCUACCUGCGUGGGACAUGGUGAUGGUCUCGUUGGUGCUGGAGCCCACGUUGAAGAUGACCACGGCCGAGGCGUUCUGCAGGAACGCGUUCCGGAUCUUCUCCCGGGUCUCCAAAUGAAUUGGAAAAUUGCUGGGGAAUUCAAGUUCAGAAACCACCCCUUCCAUGGCCUCUGCUCUUCUUCCUUUGACUGAGUAUGAGGUUUGGGUCACACCCUACGGUGCUCAGGGAUUACUCCUGGCUCUGUGCUCAGGGAUCAUUCCUGAUCCUGCUGCUUGGGGAAGAGCAUGUGUGGUGCUGGUGAUCGAGCCUGGGUUGGUCAUGGGUGAGGCUGGCGCCCUAUCCACUGUACUAUCUCUCCAGCCUUUCGUGUCUAUUCUAAAAAUACUAUUGGCAACGGUCUUCUCAGGAUGCAGUGAGUUAAAAGCAAAAUUGUGAUUGACGGCAGGAGUUUCCUGUUCAUUCUCCACGGCUGCAUUGCCACACUCAGAGUCCAGCCAAUACUCAACACGCUGCUAAGGAAUGAAAGAGGCAGAUGUGCUGAAUCGGUGUGUUAUCUAAUUCAUCAAGUCAUCUUUUCAUACUUGCAUGAGACUUCAAGGCCUAGCUUUAUGUUUGAACCUAUUUAACUAACAUUGUUAUAGAAAUAAUUUAAGAAGAUACUGAAGAGAAAUGUUUUUCUUAAAAGGACUUUUGUAUGGGGGCCCGAGAGAUAGCACAGGGGUUAAGCUUUGGUCUUGCCUGUAGAUGACCCUGAGGUGAAUCCUGGCACUGUAUAUGGUCCCCUGAGAAGGACUGGGCGCAGCCCUUGAGGUCCGUGUAAUUCCCGCACUGCAGGCUAACAGCAGCACACCCUCGGGUCCUUACAGUGAGACACCAGCUCUGUUGAUGGAAGAUGGUCAGGCAGGACCUCAGGGCUUCCUGAGUGAGCACCACUUGAGAGACUCCCCAAAACAAGCAAGACAAUUUUUUAAAAAAAAUCUUCCACAAAAUUAUUUGAAAUACAUUUCUCUAGUAAGGUUGAUAAUCUGGGAGAACUGAAAAAUGGCAAACUUAUCGGAAGGGAAGUUGUAACUUACCUAAUUUAACGGUUGACCUUCAAAUAGGAUGGAAUGGAAAUGAGGGAAAUAUCUCAAGGGGCGGAGGAAUGCAUGCCCUGCAUGUGAAAGGUCCUGAGUUUGAUCCCCACUGCUGCAUUCCACCUCUGACCCCCCAGCACCAGUUGAUGUGGCCUCCAACCCUGUAGCACCUCCCCAGCCGAGCCCUGAGCAGUCAUACAAUCUGGCCGUGGCACUGGGUCCCACCUCCCAACGCUGUUGGAAAUACAGGACCACAAAGACAAAGUAGAAUGGAAUAAUCCCAGCACCAUAAGAGAGUUUAGUUAGCUGGCUUCAUUAAUUUAUUUGAACUUCUGUGACUUCAUGUUUGCCAAGCAUUCUCAACUUUACAGGCAAAGAAAUGAUGUUCUUAAUCCUUGUAACAUUUGUAUUGACAAAUAAUUUGAUAUCCCCUCAGGAAGACAAUAUGUUCUCGUGGUAAAAUGAAGUUCUUCACAGAAAAUCUCUUUAAUAUACCAGCUUCAAAUUUCAUUCUGCCACAAAAAGGUGUACCAGUGGAUCCAGUGAACGGCGAUCACUGGGAAAUCUUUCAUUCUCGAAGCAUUCAUGCUACGUCUCCUUUUUCUGAUGGGCAAAUCACACAACUACCAGGGGAAGGAGGAGAUUCAGCUCAGUCAUAUGACAAGAAAACAGAGAAUUCCUUGCCCACAUCUGUGUGCUUGGAGAUGCAUGAAGGGAAUAAUGAGUGCUGAGAGGCAGCUCUGUCCUGGAAGACUGAUCCUGGUUGUUGGAAGGAAGGAAGGUCACGUGGGCCUCUCACCUCACCUUGUCACUCUAAAUAUGGCACAUCAAGAAUCACCAAGAGGCGCUCUCUCCGCCCAGACGAGAUUCAAAGCAGCCGCACACGAAAUGGCUCCUUUGCUCCUAAAAGACUAAGAUCCCAGCGGCCUAACCACUAAUUCUUGGCCUUUUCUUUUGGCAACUUUUGGCAGAUAUCUCUCUGGACUUAAUUACUAAAAUAUUAGAAAUUCAAAACUGCACAGCCACUGUUGCGGCCGCGUGAGCUCAUGUAUUCUUUAUUCUCAGCAAUGGAAAACAAACUAUCAAAUGAUGCCUUUUCAGGAGGUUUGAUUGUUGGGGGGAAAGUCCAAAUAAUAAUAGUGAGUUCUCUGUUGAAAUAUUGAAUGUAUUCAAAGUAUAGAGAGAAUAAAGU
Long non-coding RNA from Sorex araneus (European shrew), 2927 nucleotides. RefSeq lists it as uncharacterized. NCBI's taxonomy places the organism in Eukaryota, Metazoa, Chordata, Mammalia, Eulipotyphla, Soricidae. The transcript has 4 exons. The record is from RefSeq and is a predicted model, not a curated record.